AGUGUCCUACGGGAGGCAGCAGUAGGGAAUCUUCCACAAUGGACGAAAGUCUGAUGGAGCAACGCCGCGUGAGUGAAGAAGGGUUUCGGCUCGUAAAGCUCUGUUGGUAGUGAAGAAAGAUAGAGGUAGUAACUGGCCUUUAUUUGACGGUAAUUACUUAGAAAGUCACGGCUAACUACGUGCCAGCAGCCGCGGUAAUACGGAGGUGGCAAGCGUUGUCCGGAUUUAUUGGGCGUAAAGC
RNAcentral lists this ribosomal RNA (241 nucleotides) under uncultured bacterium. Its description in RNAcentral is "partial 16S ribosomal RNA". It matches the Rfam family "Bacterial small subunit ribosomal RNA", at positions 333 to 566 of the family's 1533-position model. The record is from RNAcentral.